Molecule: ribosomal RNA, 471 nt
Filed under: Triticum aestivum (bread wheat)
Lineage: Eukaryota; Viridiplantae; Streptophyta; Magnoliopsida; Poales; Poaceae
Description: partial small subunit ribosomal RNA
Source: RNAcentral
AUGGCGAGGAAGGUGAGUGGCUGUCGGCGGCGUUGGGGGGAUCUGGCCGCUGGGCGACGUGAGACGCGCCUGCGGGUGAGACGCCGGUUGUACGGCGACGCGGCGGGGAGGUCAGGGAACGCAGCUGCCCGCCCUGCAGCGACUGAUGCAGCCGAGGCGUUUCGUCGAACACUUGCUGGGCAAAGACCCACACCGCUGACGGGCACGGGUCACGGCGAUCAAGCAGUUGACGGAGCCGCUCAAGCAGUUGGCACGGGCACGGGUCCUGAGGGAGAGAGACAGAUAUGCAGCCGAGGCCCAAAGGAUGCGCUGCUCCUCGUCAAAGCUAGUCACCACGCGGCCGCCUGUCCUGCUCACGCCCUGAAGGUGUUUGCGAGAAUGUCUCUGUUGCAGAGUAGUAUGCCGUGUCUGUCGGACACUUAUUUGCAGAAUGCACAACACCAUCAUUUCAUUUCAUUCCAUCGCAGAUAA